This 705-nucleotide ribosomal RNA is filed under the name uncultured bacterium. RNAcentral describes it as "bacterial SSU rRNA". It matches the Rfam family "Bacterial small subunit ribosomal RNA", at positions 8 to 677 of the family's 1533-position model. The record is from RNAcentral.
AGAGUUUGAUCCUGGCUCAGGACGAACGCUGGCGGCGUGCCUAAUACAUGCAAGUCGAGCGCAGGAAGCAGACAGAAGCUCUUCGGAGCGGACGUCUGUGGAAUGAGCGGCGGAUGGGUGAGUAACACGUGGGCAACCUGCCUUAUGGUUCGGGAUAACUCCGGGAAACUGGAGCUAAUACCGGAUAAGAUUUUCCUUCGCCUGAAGGAAAAAUGAAAGACGGCUCUACGAGCUGUCGCCAAAAGAUGGGCCCGCGUCGCAUUAGCUGGUUGGUGGGAUAAAAGCUCACCAAGGCGACGAUGCGUAGCCGACCUGAGAGGGUGAUCGGCCACACUGGGACUGAGACACGGCCCAGACUCCUACGGGAGGCAGCAGUAGGGAAUCUUCCGCAAUGGACGAAAGUCUGACGGAGCGACGCCGCGUGAGUGAUGAAGGUCUUCGGAUCGUAAAACUCUGUUGUGAGGGAAGAACAAGGGUGAGUUGAAGAAGCUCACCCCUUGACGGUACCUCACCAGAAAGCCCCGGCUAACUACGUGCCAGCAGCCGCGGUAAUACGUAGGGGGCGAGCGUUGUCCGGAAUUAUUGGGCGUAAAGGGCGCGCAGGCGGCCUUCUAAGUCUGAUGUGAAAUCUCGUGGCUUAACCACGAACGGUCAUUGGAAACUGGAGGGCUUGAGUACAGAAGAGGAGAGUGGAAUCCCCGUGUA